UUGUAUAGUGAUGAGAAAUGGCCCAGGG
This 28-nucleotide non-coding RNA is filed under the name Rattus norvegicus (Norway rat). The record is from RNAcentral. Lineage: Eukaryota; Metazoa; Chordata; Mammalia; Rodentia; Muridae.